UCUCCUGGAAAACGGGUGGUAAUGCCGGAUGCUCCAGUUGACCGCAUGGUCCUCUGGGAAAGCUUUUGCGGUAUGGGAUGGGGUCGCGUCCUAUCAGCUUGAUGGCGGGGUAACGGCCCACCAUGGCUUCGACGGGUAGCCGGCCUGAGAGGGCGACCGGCCACAUUGGGACUGAGAUACGGCCCAGACUCCUACGGGAGGCAGCAGUGGGGAAUAUUGCACAAUGGGCGCAAGCCUGAUGCAGCGACGCCGCGUGCGGGAUGACGGCCUUCGGGUUGUAAACCGCUUUUGACUGGGAGCAAGCCCUUCGGGGUGAGUGUACCUUUCGAAUAAGCACCGGCUAACUACGUGCCAGCAGCCGCGGUAAUACGUAGGGUGCAAGCGUUAUCCGGAAUUAUUGGGCGUAAAGGGCUCGUAGGCGGUUCGUCGCGUCCGGUGUGAAAGUCCAUCGCUUAACGGUGGAUCCGCGCCGGGUACGGGCGGGCUUGAGUGCGGUAGGGGAGACUGGAAUUCCCGGUGUAACGGUGGAAUGUGUAGAUAUCGG
Molecule: ribosomal RNA, 544 nt
Filed under: Bifidobacterium adolescentis
Lineage: Bacteria; Bacillati; Actinomycetota; Actinomycetes; Bifidobacteriales; Bifidobacteriaceae
Description: partial 16S ribosomal RNA
Rfam family: Bacterial small subunit ribosomal RNA
Source: RNAcentral